RNAcentral lists this long non-coding RNA (2035 nucleotides) under Phaseolus vulgaris (common bean). RNAcentral describes it as "long non-coding RNA (PVUL_LNC002519)". The record is from RNAcentral. Lineage: Eukaryota; Viridiplantae; Streptophyta; Magnoliopsida; Fabales; Fabaceae.
UCAAGGUUUCACACAAAAAUACAUCGAAAGUGUGCACGAGAGAAUUGAAAUGGAGAAAAAAAAACGAACAUAAACUUUUUAUUCAAUUCAAUGGUGUCCUUCCAAAUACACGACUUCCUAUUCAUAGAAGUACUCACAAUUAAAGCCUAAACAAAUCUGAAUGACUGCAAAUUCCAAUAAAAAGAUAAACUAUUUCAUCCUAAUGAUGAGAAAAAGAUCGUAUCAUACCCUAAUGGUGAGUAUAAGGCAAAAAAAAAUAUCCUGAAAAGAUAAAACUGUCAUUUAUGUCUUCAUUUUACUUGAACUUCAGUUAAACGAAUCUUCUGGGUGUUUUCAUGGAAGUUGUAAACAAUUUUGUUCUUAAAAUUUGGACACUGACUUUGUGUCAGCAUAUCAUCAAAAUAUUGCACCUAGACGUCAUCAACUUCUUGGCCACCUUUGUCCUUCAACCCAUGUGAAUUAGUUAAACUCACGACACAUGAAAAUAUAGAUCUUAUAUUUUUGAAGGACACAAAUUGUUUCAACAUCAUUUCUGUAGAUCAAAAUAUUCCCUGUAGAAGACAAUAGGUCAAAAUGAACUAAAAUUCAUAAAUCAACAAUGAUUUACAUUAAAGUUCAUUUAUUUAAGUCUUUGCAUUUUAAACUCAACUAGAAUGUUCAUAUUCAACCAACUAUGCAAUAAAGGCUGCAUGAACUAUAAUAAACUUAUAAAAAUUCUAGCACAAAACAAAAUCAUUACUAGUUUACCGGAUUAUAAAGGAAUGGGUCCAUAUAGUAGAUCUAUAACUAAAUUUAAUGAAUGGAUAGAUGGUAUGACUUUGUCACUACUAUACCCACUUCUAGUGCACAAUUUACUUAGACCAACAACAAAAAAAGGUCGACACAAAAUAUGAGAGACUUGACAUAGUUGUUUGUAAUGCAAAAGGAUUUGUUCUUGGGUAAGAUGUUACAUGUUUUGCCCUUACCAUAACAUGUUCAUCAUAUCAUUCAAAAUAAUUCAAACACAGCCUGUGCUAUAGCUUGAAAUUAAGCCUCUACACUAGACCUUGCUACAACAUUUUGUUUUUUACUUCUCCAAAUUACCAAGUUUCCACCCAAGAACAUGCAAUGUCAACCUACUAUCUAUAACAGAACCCACAUAAUUUGCAUCAGUAUACACCUCCAUUUUUAAUUUUGCAUUCCUCUUGAACAACAAUCCCCUUCUUGGAGUUGUCUUCAAAUAUUGAAAGAUUAUAUUCAAUACAUGUAAAUGUCGCUCCUUUGGAUCUUGCAUAAAUUGACUGACUAUACUCAAUAUAAGCUAUGUCAUGUCUGAUGUGGGCUAAGUAAAUGAACUUCCUCAUAUGUUUCUAUUAUUGGACCUUAUUCAUCGUAACUACCUUCAUCACUUCUAAUUCUAUGACUAUGUUCUAUGGGAACUCCAAUCUUGCAAUCAAAUCUAUACUUUACAUUAUAAACUCACUUGCAUCCUACUUCCUUUUUAUCUUAUGGCCUAUCAACAAUCUCCCAUGUCUAGUUCUUUUCAUAGGCACUCAUCUCUUCAUUCAAUGCCUGAACCUAAUUCUAAUCCUUCAAUGUCUCUUGAAUCGAUGUAAGAACUCUAAGUGCAUCAAUGAGAGAGAGGAAACUCGUGUUGUGCAUGGAAAGGUGUUAGUAGACAUAAAAUGAGAAGUGGAAUACUUUGUACAAGACCAUGUUCCUUUUCUAAAAGCAAUAGGAAGUCCAUCCUGGUUAGAUUCACAAUUUUUAUUCAAGGAUUUUUUCAAAAGUUCAUGGGUGUUAAAACAUGGUUAUCGAAUCGAGAUUCGAAUCAUGAAUCGUAUUUCGAUUUUUUUGAAUCGUGAAUUGAAUCUUAGUAUGAAUAGGAAUAAGAAUAAAAUGAUAUAUUUUUAAAUAAGAAUAAGUGACAUGAAAAAAACAUUAGAUAUAUGGUAUAUGAAAAUGAAGUCAAAAUGUUCAAUCCACAAAAUCAAAACAUAAUAAAAUGUAAAAUAAUAUUUUCUAUAUGUAAAUCUUACAUCUUAAUCUUAUGCUU